Molecule: ribosomal RNA, 757 nt
Filed under: Desulfitobacterium hafniense
Lineage: Bacteria; Bacillati; Bacillota; Clostridia; Eubacteriales; Desulfitobacteriaceae
Description: bacterial SSU rRNA
Rfam family: Bacterial small subunit ribosomal RNA
Source: RNAcentral
AGAGUUUGAUCAUGGCUCAGGACGAACGCUGGCGGCGUGCCUAACACAUGCAAGUCGAACGGACUAACGUUUAGCACUGAGUGUUCAGUGAAGUUGGUUAAAGCGAGAGCUCGAACGUAGUGAAGCGAAGAGAGAGCUCCAGGCAUUAUAAAGUGCCAACACAGUUUGCUAAAGGGAAACAGUAAGAACACUGAGUGCUAGACGUUAGUUAGUGGCGGACGGGUGAGUAACGCGUGGAUAACCUACCUAGUAGACCGGGACAACCCUUGGAAACGAGGGCUAGUACCGGAUGAGCUUAAUCGGUGGCAUCACUGAUUAAGGAAAGAUGGCCUCUGAAGAUGCUAUCGUUAGUAGAUGGAUCCGCGUCUGAUUAGCUAGUUGGUGGGGUAAAGGCCUACCAAGGCGACGAUCAGUAGCCGGCCUGAGAGGGUGAACGGCCACACUGGGACUGAGACACGGCCCAGACUCCUACGGGAGGCAGCAGUGGGGAAUCUUCCGCAAUGGACGAAAGUCUGACGGAGCAACGCCGCGUGUACGACGAAGGCCUUCGGGUUGUAAAGUACUGUCUUCAGGGACGAACGGUAAGUAUGUAAAUAAUGUACUUACAUGACGGUACCUGAGGAGGAAGCCCCGGCUAACUACGUGCCAGCAGCCGCGGUAAUACGUAGGGGGCAAGCGUUGUCCGGAGUCAUUGGGCGUAAAGGGCGCGUAGGCGGAUACUUAAGUCUGGUGUGAAAACCUAGGGCUCAACCCUGGG